Molecule: ribosomal RNA, 478 nt
Filed under: uncultured bacterium
Lineage: Bacteria
Description: partial 16S ribosomal RNA
Rfam family: Bacterial small subunit ribosomal RNA
Source: RNAcentral
GAUGAACGCUGGCGGCGUGCUUAACACAUGCAAGUCGAACGGGAAACCUUUUAUUGAAGCUUCGGCAGAUUUCGCUGGUUUCUAUUGGCGGACGGGUGAGUACCGCGUGGGUAACCUGCCUUAUCCAGGGGGAUAACAGUCAGACAUGGCUGCUAAUACCGCAUAAGCGCACAGAUCUGCAUGGCUCAGUGUGAAAAACUCCGGUGGUAUAAGAUGGACCCGCGUUGGAUUAGCUGGUUGGUGGGGUAACGUCCCACCAAGGCGACGAUCCAUAGCCGGCGAGAGAGGGUGAACGGCGACAUUGGGAGUGAGACACGGCCGAGACUCCUACGGGAGGCAGGAGAGGGGAAUAUUGCAAAAUGGGGGAAGCGCUGAUGCAGCGACGCCGCGUGAAGGAAGAAGUAGCUAGGUAUGUAAACUGCUAUAAGCAGGGAAGAUAAUGACGGUACCUGACUAAGAAGCCCCGGCUAACUACGUG